UAUUUCAAUGCACACAAAGUCGUAUCUUGUAUGAAUCUACAAAAUAGCCACACUUUAUGAAUAAGACGGAGCACAAUUCUAAAACAUUAUUCGAUGGAAGCUUUGAUUGCAAAACGAACAAAACGGUUAUAUCUUAGUGUUGUUUGAGGUUUCAUAAUUCGAGAAGAAAAACAUUGUCUUUAACCAACAUACAACAAUGUAACCAUCUAUCAAGGAAUGAAAAAUAUGCAGGGGGGGUUCCUCUUGUAGUGCUCGUUCUGGCCAAGGAUGAGCGAACACCUUGCUGUAUGAACCAUGGACACACACGGCAGCUGGCCUGGUUGCACUCGUCCAACUUGACAGCAUGCCUCGAGUGCUCGCUCAGGGUGCCCCUACUGGUCUGGUUCCGGACACAGCUCAGGAUGAAUAUGCCAAGCAGGUAGCACGGCUGUCAAGGCUCAUCAGAGCCGGGUCUUGAACACGAAGGGCCGGUUGACCCAGCCCUGCCAGGUCUUGAAUGCCUACAGCAACAAAGGUGAAUACCAGUUUCAUCAACGCAUUGCACAUGUUUUUGUUUAUUUGAACUUGGUUGAUGGUCUAUCCAAAAACGGAAAGCAAAUAGUGAGCCGUAUGAAGCAUGGGUAAGGAACUUCACAAAAGAAGCUAGCUGACUGCAGAAAUCAACCUUUUCUUUUCCGUGCCGAUAAAAAUAUCAUUCUAUUCAGAUAUCUAUAAAGAUGAUCGUGUUAAGGGGAAUAUUGUCAUCAUUGGACUUCCUAACGUUAGCAUAAAAAAAUAUGCAACUAACAAAACUCAUGCGGUG
RNAcentral lists this long non-coding RNA (802 nucleotides) under Triticum aestivum (bread wheat). RNAcentral describes it as "long non-coding RNA (TAES_LNC006466)". The record is from RNAcentral. Lineage: Eukaryota; Viridiplantae; Streptophyta; Magnoliopsida; Poales; Poaceae.